Long non-coding RNA from Oreochromis niloticus (Nile tilapia), 2870 nucleotides. RefSeq lists it as uncharacterized. Lineage: Eukaryota; Metazoa; Chordata; Actinopteri; Cichliformes; Cichlidae. The record is from RefSeq and is a predicted model, not a curated record. The transcript is spliced from 3 exons.
AAAAAAAGAAAAGGAAAAAAAAAAAUCACCAUCAGUUCGACUCUUUUGUUCUUUACAGCUCAAAAUCAGAGAUAAAAAGACAAUAACCACACAAAGCCAGACAUCACAGACGUCUUUGUGCAUGGAGGGCAGCGCCGUGCAGCCGCUACCUCACCAGCGGUGUCUGUCACCGACUGCUCUAUUCAGCAGCUCAGUGCUGAGGACAAAGCAGGAUUCAACACAACAGAGACGUUCACACAAUGCAGCUGUACCUGGUGCUGUGCGCCUCUCACACAAACGGCUGCUACUAUUCAUAGAAAGAAGAAACAUGACACACACACACACACAAUUUUGGAAUCAGAGGUGAAUAAAAGAAAAUACUGCUUGUGUUAUUUAAAAGGUGUGUGAGUAAAGCUGGCGUCCGCACAGAGAUGCGAGGGAAAUCUUUCUCUCCUUUACCUGUCAAUGUGAAUAUAAAAGCAUUUAGCUGCGAACCUUUCAUGUAAACCGUUGCCAUGGCAACAGCUCUUCAUUUCAUCACGGCAAACCUCGGGCGGGGGAGAGAGAGCUAGCGGGCCGAGUUGGUGGGAGGAUUCCUCUGCAGAGGAUGGUUAGUGUGUCGAGUGGAGGUUUAACCGCCUCUGAUGCAACAAGCUGCACAGCCGAGGCAACUUCAGAGCAUGUAGCCGAGUCAGGGAGUCUAACACUGUGACCCAAAUACUGAGACUGCAACGGGAGGCUAGUUUAAAGCACAUGGAAGGUUAGCAUGUGAUCAGUAAUGCAGAGGUGACACUCCAGCACAGUAAUCACAGCAGCUGCAACAUUCCUUAAAAUUUGUUUGUCAGCACCUGCACUCAGCCCAUCUAAAACAAGCCUGAGUUACCGCAGAAAUGUGUCUAACUGGCAACAUGGCUCUCAGGAAGUAACUUGCUACAAGCCAAGUGUGGCCGAAAAGAUGUGCUGUAAUGAAAUUCACAAGUAUCGAGCUCUGGCUGCUACACCAAGACUUGAACAGAGUAGCUUUGCAUGAGUCACAGUUCAAAAUAAUCCUCAUUUUUAUCUGAUUCCUCUCUCUGAAACAAGACAAGAGGUUAGCUCUCCUGACACAAGCAAAGAUUAAAAGCAGGUGGCUUCUGUGCCUGAGAUGACCAAUUCAUGAUGUUUCCUGCUGAUGUCAUCAUAAAGAUGAGGAAAACCUAACAGUGGGAUCAGGCUAUUUGAUCUUCUUGAUUAAACCACAAUUUGUUCUGUUAGAUGCUCACAAUAACCUAAAGUUCAAAGUGACAUCUGAUUGCCAACUGGUUGUAUUUCCGUAUCAAAGCCACGCUGCACCAUGUCAUUUAGCAGUUAAAUUGUCAUCCUGCAGCAACUACGUCACUAUUUGUGGAGGACUUCCUGUUUCAGAUUUGUGAGUUGGGCUGGUCUCUGAAUUCAAGUCGUGAAUGUGAAUUUCUGUGCAUGCAGAUUUGUAAUUUUUGCCAGUUUAGUGCAAUUAAUCGCUGUAUUUCAACAAUGAGGUCAAGUUGUCAUGCAGUUCCCAACCCUUAUCGACCUGUUGUUGUUGUUUUAUGGCGGUCUUGACACGCCAACGUUGCUUUGAAGACGGCAGCUGAGUACGAGUGGUUUCAGACAUGGUCCCCGUCUUCAAAAUGACCAUUUCAAAAGGCAACACGAUCGCAAGUUCAGUGCACACAGUAGCAACAACUUGGCCUCCAACAACUGGUUUCCUUUGCAUGACUGUAGCAUCAGGAUAUGUCAGACUCUGAAUGUGAAGCCGAAGCUUACUUGAUUGGGCGUUAUAGUCGUAUCAAACAUGGUGACCUAGAGACUGGCACCAUAAAUUCAGCAGGAAAAGUGUUUAGAAGAGAUCAACUGACUGACAUCCAGACAACUGGACCCCCUUUUGCAACCAGGUGUUGAUGCUGGCUGGUCACUAGAAAGAAAACAGAUUUAAGGCAGUUUUCAUUAGCACCAAACAUGAAAGUAUUUGCAUUGGCAAACCUAAACUUUGACUUAAUGAUGGCAUGAUACCAUUAGAGACUUGCUGAAACUGGAUAAGGAGGCGGGGGAUGCUUUUGCACAAAGAACAGGCAUACAUGCAGGCUUUAAAUCUUGCCUCCUUUCUUUAUUAAUUGAUUUAAUCAAAAACACGACUGUCACGGUAAAUUUUUGGAUUGCGUUGGUGAAUCUCCACUCUGAGCAUCUAACAAGAUUAAAUUCAAUGUUGCUUUUUCUGCAAGCUUUGCGGUUACAGUGUGAAGAUUAGCCUUUCUACACCAACAGCCGGCCCUUGAUGGAAGCAAAAAUGCAGAGUCACCUGUCGAUAAACUCCAGACACGAAAUCCAUUUUUACAGACCCAUGAGAUCUUUUCCUGUUGCUCAGUAUUGCUAAGCAACGCCUGUAAUUAUGACAGACACGCAGGUCAGCUGACCCGGGCCUGAUCUGCCUAAGAAGUGCCGACGGACUGCUGAGCCCUGCAGUGCACGGAUGAAGGUGAGCCGACCUCAGACUGAUCACCGUGACCACAGAGUACUUAGGAAGCAUUAGUGAGGUGACUGCUUAUCUUACUGGCUUUAAAAAGUGGAUCAUUUAAAAAGAGUGCUAGUGACUAUGCUGCCAGCCGCUUCCAUUCAUCUCCAGACCUGCUGAGAUUUUACCUCUCACAGAAAAUGUCUCCUGCUUCUUAAGCUGAUUAAACAAAUGCAGUGUCAUGUUACACUUGUGCUCUAGCACACUACUGCUGCGUCUUUGCAUAUCAUUCCAAACACCCCCCGUUUGACCAUCACAGGUUUAUCUGAACAAGUUUGAGGGGUGAGAUACAUUUUUUUUUAAACAGGAUUUAGGUAAAAAUGUCAUGUCCCUGCCUUCAUCAGCUUUCAUAUUGGUAAAA